RNAcentral lists this long non-coding RNA (590 nucleotides) under Spirodela polyrhiza (greater duckweed). RNAcentral's name for it is "long non-coding RNA (SPOL_LNC000681)". The record is from RNAcentral. Lineage: Eukaryota; Viridiplantae; Streptophyta; Magnoliopsida; Alismatales; Araceae.
UGGGUUAAUUCAAAUUCUAGGUCUGUGCUGCACUGCCGAAAGAUUGCUCCCCCUUCUGCUUCCUUCUCAGGUCGGAUCGCUGGCUGUUCCUCGAACCCACCUCCAGCGGCUCGCUCCCUUCUGCAAGGCUCAGGUUCUCUCUCUCUCGCUCUCUCUCUCUCUCCUUGCUCUUCCCCUACCUCUGGUUCUGCCUGUGCGACGCAGGCACGUCGUCGGGGCAUGAUGUUCGCAGAAUGCUCUUGAAAGGGCACUUGACGGCUACGUUGUUGAGUCUCGUCUUCUGGCGAUGGGUGGUGGAGGAAGUUCCUCCGAGUAUAUCGUCGGGAAGGGCAUUUUCUUUUUUCUGCUCCUGGGGAUAUAUCGCCGUCAAGGCACCGAUCUCUGUAGUUUUGUUUUCUGUUACCUCCCUCUGCGUUCUUGAUCCUCGAAACAUCUAUGCCUGACGUGAAGAAAGUGUAUCUCUCUCACUCAUCUCCUUACCCCUUGGAACAGCGAGAAUCAGGAUCGGAUUAGUUUUCUUGGAAAGGAAUAGUGGAAGACCACUGGCGAGUGAGAGCUUGUCGUACACCCUGAGAACCUGAAUAUCCCUC